RNAcentral lists this ribosomal RNA (459 nucleotides) under uncultured bacterium. RNAcentral's name for it is "partial 16S ribosomal RNA". It matches the Rfam family "Bacterial small subunit ribosomal RNA", at positions 338 to 795 of the family's 1533-position model. The record is from RNAcentral.
CCUACGGGUGGCAGCAGUGAGGAAUAUUGGUCAAUGGGCGCGAGCCUGAACCAGCCAAGUCGCGUGAGGGAAGACGGUCCUACGGAUUGUAACCCUCUUUUGGCGGGGAGCAAAAGACGCCACGCGUGGCGGUCCGAGAGUACACGAAGAAAAAGCAUCGGCUAACUCCGUGCCAGCAGCCGCGGUAAUAAGGAGGAUGCGAGCGUUAGACGGAUUUAUUGGGUUUAAAGGGGGGGCAGGCGGAAGAUCAAGGCAGCGGUAAAAUUGAGAGGCUCAACCUCUUCGAGCCGUUGAAACUGGUUUUCUUGAGUGAGCGAGACGUAUGCGGAAUGCGUGGUGUAGCGGUGAAAUGCAUAGAUAUCACGCAGAACUCCGAUUGCGAAGGCAGCAUACCGGCGCUCAACUGACGCUCAUGCACGAAAGUAUGGGUAUCGAACAGGAUUAGAUACCCCUGUAGUC